This 497-nucleotide ribosomal RNA is filed under the name uncultured bacterium. RNAcentral describes it as "partial 16S ribosomal RNA". It matches the Rfam family "Bacterial small subunit ribosomal RNA", at positions 30 to 523 of the family's 1533-position model. The record is from RNAcentral.
AUUGAACGCUGGCGGCAUGCUUUACACAUGCAAGUCGAACGCGAAAGGGGGCAACCCUGAGUAGAGUGGCGCACGGGUGAGUAAUGCAUCGGAACGUGUCCUGUAGCGGGGGAUAACCUAGCGAAAGCUAGGCUAAUACCGCAUACGCCCUGAGGGGGAAAGUGGGGGAUCGCAAGACCUCACACUAUAGGAGCGGCCGAUGCCGGAUUAGCUAGUUGGUGGGGUAAAAGCUCACCAAGGCGACGAUCCGUAGCUGGUCUGAGAGGAUGAUCAGCCACACUGGGACUGAGACACGGCCCAGACUCCUACGGGAGGCAGCAGUGGGGAAUUUUGGACAAUGGGCGCAAGCCUGAUCCAGCAAUGCCGCGUGCAGGAUGAAGGCCUUCGGGUUGUAAACUGCUUUUGUACAGAACGAAACGGUCCUUUCUAAUACAAGGGGCUAAUGACGGUACUGUAAGAAUAAGCACCGGCUAACUACGUGCCAGCCGCCGCGGUAA